UGCUUGAUGGAACCAUCCGCUUUCCAAAGGUUCCCUCAGUAGCAGACAAGCUCUUUUAAUGGGCACUCUCAGAGUCAGAGCUGUAAAAUUAGGACUCACAUGCUGCAUGUUAAAAAUAAUAAGCAAUGCACAUGGCCUUCACUUGAACUUUGGACAGGAGGAAGAGAAUAGGCUUUUCUUCUGUCCAGUUAACAGAGAUUAGAGAUCUUUCUACCAUGGCCGAGCUCACCCAGCAGAUGAAGAACAGCUUCUUCCCCACAGCUGACAGCAUCAAAGGUGGCAACAAUGGCAACCCUCAAGAUAAAGGCACCGAAGAUACGGAUAAAGCCAAGUUGAGAACUCUGCAGGAUAGAGGGAUCCAAGUAGCAGCAGUACGUGGUCCAAAGCCCCCAGGUCCAGCAAAAGCACCUCCCCCACAGACUAAUUGAGUAGUAUAGAAGCAUGGGUCAUGUCAUUAGCAGCUUCCUUCUGAUCUUCUACUGUAGAAUCUGGUUGUUUAGUUUGCUGGGUUGCCUUAAGCGUGAAGCCUUAAAUCUUUGGGAGAUGAGUGUCUCAUGUCUGAAUCUUAGUUAUGAAACAUGUUUAAGUUUGUUUACUGCAGUCUCUAAUAUGUAAUAAAGUGCAGUUAAUUGAUGCAAAAUAUAUAAAACAUGAUCAUUUGUCAUAAAAAGAUGCUGUUCUGUCUGUG
Elaeis guineensis (African oil palm) is the source of this 688-nucleotide long non-coding RNA. RefSeq lists it as uncharacterized. NCBI's taxonomy places the organism in Eukaryota, Viridiplantae, Streptophyta, Magnoliopsida, Arecales, Arecaceae. The record is from RefSeq and is a predicted model, not a curated record.